UCUUCACUUCACAUUCUCUCCUUUACCCCUCGAUCACUUUCCCAUUCCAACCAUUCCUCUCCUUCUUCUCUUUUACAUCCAGUUCCUUUAAAUCUCUCACAAAAUCUGUACUAUCACUGUCUUACAACAAUAAUUUCUCACAAUGACCCAUAUCUAAGUUUGUACGCAACGAUUCAUUUUCAUCUGAUUUUGGACCACGUGGAAGAAGAUGAGAUCUUUUACUAGAAGGGAGACAAGGACUUUCAAAUCGUGAAGAGCUAUCUUUUAGUAAAAGGAUUCAAUGUCGGUUAUGUCAUAAAUGGCGCGAAGCAAUCGAAUGGAGCCCGAAUUGGAUGCAUUACCAGCUCUGGAACAGCUGGUGAAAAUUUUCAAAAUGCUUUAUGCAACGCUGAAGCUCAUCAAAGAGAAUAUGCAUCAAAUUAGGGUGGUGAAGAAUCAUUUGAGAAACCACUAUUAUAAAAGCAGGACUAUUGGCACGUUGACUUCGUGGACGAUCUAGGACAAUUUUACUUGCAAUCAAAAGUGAUAAGCC
Molecule: long non-coding RNA, 532 nt
Organism: Olea europaea var. sylvestris
Lineage: Eukaryota; Viridiplantae; Streptophyta; Magnoliopsida; Lamiales; Oleaceae
Exons: 5
Source: RefSeq, a predicted model, not a curated record